RNAcentral lists this unclassified non-coding RNA (546 nucleotides) under Hevea brasiliensis (rubber tree). Lineage: Eukaryota; Viridiplantae; Streptophyta; Magnoliopsida; Malpighiales; Euphorbiaceae. The record is from RNAcentral.
GAGUGACCCUGCUGUUCAUUCUUGCCUUGGGUCCUCAAUUCUAGGAGCAUGAACCACCAAUUUCGACCAGGUAUUGGUUGGACCAGCAUAGCUUGGCUUGCUAGCCACCCUUAUUCAUCACAUAUCAUUUUCUGUACUCCAUACAAUGCAAAGCACAUGUAAAUAUCUAAGCUUCACAUUUUUCCAAAAAUGAGAUAAGAUGUUAUGUUUCUUUUUUGAUACAUUUGGCUUUGAAUGUUCAUAUUAAUAUGUAAAUGAUAUUGAGUAGAAAUCAAGGUUAUAAUAUAGUGGGAGUUUUUGUUACUGUUUAGGCACUGCAUAUUUUUUUGGGUAAUUUGGAAAUCAUUAUAAGUGGAUGGAGUUUGUCCAUAUUCAAACCUUAACCUUCUACACUACGAGACUGGCACCCGACCGCUGGGUCUAAUGACAGGCAAUGCAUUCUUAAUUCUUAUGAAGGUGGAAUUGGUACUUACGGAAGAAGAAGAAGAGUUGAGAUUGUUAGACAAUGCUUUUGUAGGAAGAAAGAAGUGGUGUUCCUUGAAGAUG